AGCUGCGUGGCAGGUACAUAGCGAAUUAUUCUUUCGCCUUUUACUAAAGAGUACCGUGUGCCUACCACAUAAAGCAGCAUAUAAAUAUUUUUGGAGGGCUUUCUUUGUUUCGAAGUGC
Zingiber officinale is the source of this 118-nucleotide small nuclear RNA. RefSeq annotates it as U5 spliceosomal RNA. The record is from RefSeq and is a predicted model, not a curated record. The transcript has a single exon. NCBI's taxonomy places the organism in Eukaryota, Viridiplantae, Streptophyta, Magnoliopsida, Zingiberales, Zingiberaceae.